This 496-nucleotide ribosomal RNA is filed under the name uncultured bacterium. RNAcentral describes it as "partial 16S ribosomal RNA". It matches the Rfam family "Bacterial small subunit ribosomal RNA", at positions 30 to 523 of the family's 1533-position model. The record is from RNAcentral.
AUUGAACGCUGGCGGAAUGCUUUACACAUGCAAGUCGAACGGUAGAGGGGGCAACCCCUCGAGAGUGGCGAACGGGUGAGUAAUAUAUCGGAACGUGCCCAGUCGUGGGGGAUAACGUAGCGAAAGUUACGCUAAUACCGCAUACGAUCUAAGGAUGCAAGCGGGGGAUCGCAAGACCUCGCGCGAUUGGAGCGGCCGAUAUCAGAUUAGGUUGUUGGUGAGGUAAAAGCUCACCAAGCCUGCGAUCUGUAGCUGGUCUGAGAGGACGACUAGCCACACUGGAACUGAGACACGGUCCAGACUCCUACGGGAGGCAGCAGUGGGGAAUUUUGGACAAUGGACGCAAGUCUGAUCCAGCAAUGCCGCGUGCAGGACGAAGGCCUUCGGGUUGUAAACUGCUUUUGUACGGAACGAAACGGUGAGCUCUAAUACAGUUUGCUAAUGACGGUACCGUAAGAGUAAGCACCGGCUAACUACGUGCCAGCCGCCGCGGUAA